Molecule: ribosomal RNA, 267 nt
Filed under: Triticum aestivum (bread wheat)
Lineage: Eukaryota; Viridiplantae; Streptophyta; Magnoliopsida; Poales; Poaceae
Description: partial small subunit ribosomal RNA
Source: RNAcentral
AUGCAGGUGUUCGGCGCGGCAGGCCCGCCGAGGAACACGACGCUAAUGCUGCACGUCUACGGCGGACGGCUCGUGUACUACAACGAUGAGACCAAGGUCGUCAACGGCCGCAUCUAUGACCGGUGGUUCGGGCUCAACGUGGUCCACGACGUCCAAGCAUCGGCCCUCACCGUGUUCAUUGACGGCGACGAGAGGCUGGUCGUCCCAGGCUACGGCGGCGACCUCCACUACUUCAAGUUCGGGGUGUACACUAAGACUCCCUACUGA